GUGCUUGCUUUGGCAGCGCAUAUACUAAAA
RNAcentral lists this small nuclear RNA (30 nucleotides) under Cervus elaphus hippelaphus. The record is from RNAcentral. Lineage: Eukaryota; Metazoa; Chordata; Mammalia; Artiodactyla; Cervidae.